This 484-nucleotide ribosomal RNA is filed under the name uncultured bacterium. RNAcentral's name for it is "partial 16S ribosomal RNA". It matches the Rfam family "Bacterial small subunit ribosomal RNA", at positions 30 to 507 of the family's 1533-position model. The record is from RNAcentral.
AUUGAACGCUGGCGGCAGGCCUAACACAUGCAAGUCGAGCGGAUGAAGGGAGCUUGCUCCUGGAUUCAGCGGCGGACGGGUGAGUAAUGCCUAGGAAUCUGCCUGGUAGUGGGGGAUAACGUCCGGAAACGGGCGCUAAUACCGCAUACGUCCUGAGGGAGAAAGUGGGGGAUCUUCGGACCUCACGCUAUCAGAUGAGCCUAGGUCGGAUUAGCUAGUUGGUGGGGUAAAGGCCUACCGAGGCGACGAUCCGUAACUGGUCUGAGAGGAUGAUCAGUCACACUGGAACUGAGACACGGUCCAGUCUCCUACGGGAGGCAGCAGUGGGGAAUAUUGGACAAUGGGCGAAAGCCUGAUCCAGCCAUGCCGCGUGUGUGAAGAAGGUCUUCGGAUUGUAAAGCACUUUAAGUUGGGAGGAAGGGCAGUAAGUUAAUACCUUGCUGUUUUGACGUUACCAACAGAAUAAGCACCGGCUAACUUCGUG